CUCGUAGGCGGUUCGGUAAGUCGGGUGUGAAAACUCUGGGCUCAACUCAGAGACGCCACUCGAUACUGCUGUGACUAGAGUGCGGUAGGGGAGCGGGGAAUUUCUGGUGUAGCGGUGAAAUGCGCAGAUAUCAGAAGGAACACCAGUGGCGAAGGCGCCGCUCUGGGCCGUAACUGACGCUGAGGAGCGAAAGCAUGGGUAGCAAACA
This 208-nucleotide ribosomal RNA is filed under the name uncultured bacterium. RNAcentral's name for it is "partial 16S ribosomal RNA". It matches the Rfam family "Bacterial small subunit ribosomal RNA", at positions 568 to 774 of the family's 1533-position model. The record is from RNAcentral.